ACGGAAGGCAGCAGUGGGGAAUAUUGGGCAAUGGGCGAAAGCCUGACCCAGCAACGCCGCGUGAAGGAAGAAGGUCUUCGGAUUGUAAACUUCUUUUAUGAGGGACGAAGGACGUGACGGUACCUCAUGAAUAAGCCACGGCUAACUACGUGCCAGCAGCCGCGGUAAUACGUAGGUGGCAAGCGUUAUCCGGAUUUACUGGGUGUAAAGGGCGCGUAGGCGGGGAGACAAGUCAGGUGUGAAAUCUAUGGGCUUAACCCAUAAACUGCAUUUGAAACUGUAUCUCUUGAGUGCUGGAGAGGUAGAUGGAAUUCCUUGUGUAGCGGUGAAAUGCGUAGAUAUAAGGAAGAACACCAGUGGCGAAGGCGAUCUACAGGACAGUAACUGACGCUGAGGCGCGAAAGCGUGGGGAGCAAACAGGAUUAGAUACCCUGGUA
RNAcentral lists this ribosomal RNA (437 nucleotides) under uncultured Oscillospiraceae bacterium. RNAcentral describes it as "partial 16S ribosomal RNA". It matches the Rfam family "Bacterial small subunit ribosomal RNA", at positions 341 to 792 of the family's 1533-position model. The record is from RNAcentral. Lineage: Bacteria; Bacillati; Bacillota; Clostridia; Eubacteriales; Oscillospiraceae.